GGGUCUAUAACCAGGCGCUGCUCCCGGACACGAGAGGACUGCGAGCACACAGGUCUGAGGAGGUGAUUUUGAUGGCCACAGGGUUGCUCACCAUCAUUUUACUCUGUGCUGUUGUGGCUGGAGCUUCAGGGAGUAAGUAGAAGAAAUUUUUCUGCUAAGAAAUGUUCUCACUGGCAAAACAGAGCAUUAUGUCACAGCUUGUAGGUUUGUAGUAGCUCUUGUAGCACUUUGUCUGGAUUUUUACUGUAGUGUAGCACUUUGCUUUGCUGAGCUCUUUGAGUGGUACUGAGCAGGUGUGAAAGCACCCUCCCUGGAGAGGAUGCAUUAAAUAGUGCAUCUUCCUUCAGCAUUCUGGAGAAAGCAACAGAAAUAGUGAGAUUGUGUCAGCCUGUAUACUUUAUAGAAAAACUGUCAUGGAUUUAGUUAUUGUUUUGAGGACCAUGCUAGGAUUUCAGCGAUUUCACUGAAAUUCAGAAGCAGCAGGUCCGUGCUGAGCUGCACACAAAUUUGCAGUGCUUUUCUGUUCUGUUACCUGUCGUUGCAGGAUCCUCAGAGAGGUUAAGUUAUGGAGCUUCCUGUUUUGCAGAAUGUGCAGGACACAGUGCAUCAUACUUCCCCAAAAGAGCUAGAUACAGCUACAGGUAUUCAGCAGUCACCAACACAUUCCUGCAGGGAAAUAUUUACAAAGGCAGUGGCAUCUCUCUGGAGACCACAGUGAUCAUUGAAGUAUUGGGGAAUUGCCAGAUGGUUUUGAAAGUAAGUAUUGUCAUAAUAGUUUGGGUGAUUGGGAUGAGCUGAUGUGGAAUCUUA
RNAcentral lists this long non-coding RNA (810 nucleotides) under Cyanistes caeruleus (blue tit). RNAcentral's name for it is "lncRNA (ENSCCEG00000008816.1)". The record is from RNAcentral. Lineage: Eukaryota; Metazoa; Chordata; Aves; Passeriformes; Paridae.